Molecule: ribosomal RNA, 430 nt
Filed under: Streptococcus constellatus
Lineage: Bacteria; Bacillati; Bacillota; Bacilli; Lactobacillales; Streptococcaceae
Description: bacterial SSU rRNA
Rfam family: Bacterial small subunit ribosomal RNA
Source: RNAcentral
GACGAACGCUGGCGGCGUGCCUAAUACAUGCAAGUAGAACGCACAGGAUGCACCGUAGUUUACUACACCGUAUUCUGUGAGUUGCGAACGGGUGAGUAACGCGUAGGUAACCUGCCUGGUAGCGGGGGAUAACUAUUGGAAACGAUAGCUAAUACCGCAUAAGAACAUUUACUGCAUGGUAGAUGUUUAAAAGGUGCAAGAGCAUCACUACCAGAUGGACCUGCGUUGUAUUAGCUAGUUGGUGAGGUAACGGCUCACCAAGGCAACGAUACAUAGCCGACCUGAGAGGGUGAUCGGCCACACUGGGACUGAGACACGGCCCAGACUCCUACGGGAGGCAGCAGUAGGGAAUCUUCGGCAAUGGGGGGAAACCCCUGACCGAGCAAACGCCGCGUGAGUGAAGAAGGUUUUUCGGAUCGUAAAAGCUUCU